GAUGAACGCUGGCGGCGUGCCUAAUACAUGCAAGUCGAGCGAACGGACGAGAAGCUUGCUUCUCUGAUGUUAGCGGCGGACGGGUGAGUAACACGUGGAUAACCUACCUAUAAGACUGGGAUAACUUCGGGAAACCGUAGCUAAUACCGGAUAAUAUUUUGAACCGCAUGGUUCAAAAGUGAAAGACGGUCUUGCUGUCACUUAUAGAUGGAUCCGCGCUGCAUUAGCUAGUUGGUAAGGUAACGGCUUACCAAGGCAACGAUGCAUAGCCGACCUGAGAGGGUGAUCGGCCGCACUGGAACUGAGACACGGUCCAGACUCCUACGGGAGGCAGCAGUAGGGAAUCUUCCGCAGUGGGCGAAAGCCUGACGGAGCAACGCCGCGUGAGUGAUGGAGGUCUUCGGAUCGUAAAACUCUGUUAUUAGGGAAGAACAUAUGUGUAAGUAACUGUGCACAUCUUGACGGUACCUAAUCAGAAAGCCACGGCUAACUACGUG
Molecule: ribosomal RNA, 497 nt
Filed under: uncultured bacterium
Lineage: Bacteria
Description: partial 16S ribosomal RNA
Rfam family: Bacterial small subunit ribosomal RNA
Source: RNAcentral